Molecule: non-coding RNA, 133 nt
Organism: Triticum aestivum (bread wheat)
Lineage: Eukaryota; Viridiplantae; Streptophyta; Magnoliopsida; Poales; Poaceae
Source: Rfam
CCACUACUCCCUCCGUCCCAAAAUUCUUGUCCUAGAUUUUUCUAGAUACGGAUGUCUAAUACUAAAAUGUGACUUGAUACAUCCGUAUCUAGAUAAAUCUAGGACAAAAAUUUUGGGACGGAGGGAGUACUUU